RNAcentral lists this small nuclear RNA (103 nucleotides) under Nicotiana sylvestris (wood tobacco). The record is from RNAcentral. Lineage: Eukaryota; Viridiplantae; Streptophyta; Magnoliopsida; Solanales; Solanaceae.
GUCCCUUCGGGGACAUCCGAUAAAACUGGAACGAUACAGAGAAGAUUAGCAUGGCCCCUGCGCAAGGAUGGCAUACACAAAUCGAGAAAUAGUCCAAAUUUUU